UCGAGAAUCUUCCGCAAUGCACGAAAGUGUGACGGAGCGACGCCGCGUGAUGGAUGAAGGCCUUAGGGUUGUAAACAUCUUUUAUUGGUGAAGAAAUUAUUGACAUUAGCCAAUGAAUAAGGAGCUCCUAAUCUGGUGCCAGCAGGAGCGGUAAUACCAGAGCUUCAAGUGUUAUCCGGAAUCACUGGGCGUAAAGGGUGCGUAGGCGGUUGUAUUAGUCAGAAUUUAAAGACCGGUGCUCAACAUCGGGAAGGGUUUUGAAACGGUACAACUAGAGUAUGUGAGAGGUAAGCGGAACUCUCGGUGUAGGGGUGAAAUCCGUUGAUAUCGAGGGGAACACCAAAAGCGAA
RNAcentral lists this ribosomal RNA (350 nucleotides) under uncultured bacterium. RNAcentral describes it as "bacterial SSU rRNA". It matches the Rfam family "Bacterial small subunit ribosomal RNA", at positions 355 to 719 of the family's 1533-position model. The record is from RNAcentral.